UAGGGCCAUAUCACAUUGAAACAUUGGUUCUCAUAUGAUCACCAAAGUUAAGCAGCAUCGAACUUGGUCAGUACAUAGAUGGGUAACCACUUGGGAAUAAAAG
Acanthosepion pharaonis is the source of this 103-nucleotide non-coding RNA. The record is from the annotation of a GenBank genome assembly. NCBI's taxonomy places the organism in Eukaryota, Metazoa, Mollusca, Cephalopoda, Sepiida, Sepiidae.